Molecule: ribosomal RNA, 629 nt
Filed under: Enterococcus sp. FBPers-10_02-23
Lineage: Bacteria; Bacillati; Bacillota; Bacilli; Lactobacillales; Enterococcaceae
Description: bacterial SSU rRNA
Rfam family: Bacterial small subunit ribosomal RNA
Source: RNAcentral
GGGUGAGUAACACGUGGGUAACCUGCCCAUCAGAAGGGGAUAACACUUGGAAACAGGUGCUAAUACCGUAUAACAAUCGAAACCGCAUGGUUUUGAUUUGAAAGGCGCUUUCGGGUGUCGCUGAUGGAUGGACCCGCGGUGCAUUAGCUAGUUGGUGAGGUAACGGCUCACCAAGGCCACGAUGCAUAGCCGACCUGAGAGGGUGAUCGGCCACAUUGGGACUGAGACACGGCCCAAACUCCUACGGGAGGCAGCAGUAGGGAAUCUUCGGCAAUGGACGAAAGUCUGACCGAGCAACGCCGCGUGAGUGAAGAAGGUUUUCGGAUCGUAAAACUCUGUUGUUAGAGAAGAACAAGGAUGAGAGUAACUGUUCAUCCCUUGACGGUAUCUAACCAGAAAGCCACGGCUAACUACGUGCCAGCAGCCGCGGUAAUACGUAGGUGGCAAGCGUUGUCCGGAUUUAUUGGGCGUAAAGCGAGCGCAGGCGGUUUCUUAAGUCUGAUGUGAAAGCCCCCGGCUCAACCGGGGAGGGUCAUUGGAAACUGGGAGACUUGAGUGCAGAAGAGGAGAGUGGAAUUCCAUGUGUAGCGGUGAAAUGCGUAGAUAUAUGGAGGAACACCAGUGGCGAA